UACUCAUUAGGUUUUAGGGUUUCAGAAAGAGAGAGAUGAAAGUUUGUGAGGCAUCUGAAAGCCAACAUGAAGAGGAUGACGGUGCUCGUAGGGUUUUAACAUAUCGCAUCCAUGAUUUACCAGAUCAGAUGAAAAUCUCGAAGAGCGUGGUCUGAUCAACAGACACCAUUGUUUGGGGUCUCAGUUGAACCGCUGAACCACCCUUCAGGAAUCCGGUACUGCAAAAUCUCUUCUGCUGUUUGGGAGAAUGGCACCGGUGACAAAGAGGCUCGUAGAGUGAAAGCCGUCAAGACUGAAGUGCAAGCGCAUGCUCUGAAUGGCGGACUGUGACUCCAGGAGACUCUGCUGAGUUCUGAUCCAAUCAUCGGAUAACAACAACAUCGCAUUCACGAGACAAUCUCAGUUAAAGAGAAAGAUCAGAAGCAAACAUCUCAAAAGGAGGACAUUGUUUAUAUCUAGUUGAAAACAUUGUUCAAUUAUAAAUAUAGGCUAUAGUUUAGUUAAGACGAUUAGUUAUUCAUGAGCUCUAAUUCUGUGAUUGUAAACCUGAUAAUGGAUCACUGAAAGGAAAAUUUUCUC
Pyrus x bretschneideri (Chinese white pear) is the source of this 579-nucleotide long non-coding RNA. RefSeq lists it as uncharacterized. The transcript is spliced from 2 exons. The record is from RefSeq and is a predicted model, not a curated record. NCBI's taxonomy places the organism in Eukaryota, Viridiplantae, Streptophyta, Magnoliopsida, Rosales, Rosaceae.